GGCCGGGCCGCCGGCGUUUGACCGCGCUUGGGUGGCCUGGGACCCUGUGGGAGGCUUCCCCGGCGCCGAGAGCCCUGGCUGACGGCUGAUGGGGAGGAGCCGGCGGGCGGAGAAGGCCACGGGCUCCCCAGUACCCUCACCUGCGCGGGAUCGCUGCGGGAAACCAGGGGGAGCUUCGGCAGGGCCUGCAGAGAGGACAAGCGAAGUUAAGAGCCUAGUGUACUUGCCGCUGGGAGCUGGGCUAGGCCCCCAACCUUUGCCCUGAAGAUGCUGGCAGAGCAGGAUGUUGUAACGGGAAAUGUCAGAAAUACUGCAAGCAAACUGAAAACAACCCAUCCAUGUAGGUUAUUCAAGGACACGGAAAAGCCAACACCAUGGUAGCAUUAAUGAAAGUUUACCAAGAGGAAGAUGAAGCCUACCAGGAAUUAGUUACCGUGGCAACCACGUUCUUCCAGUACUUAUUGCGGCCAUUUAGGGCUAUGCGAGAAGUUGCAACUUUAUAAGUCCUUGGAUGAGGAUGACCUAGGUCCUAGAAGGGUAGUUGCCCUGGAGAAAGAAGCUGAAGAAUGGACCAGACGGGCUGGAGAAGCUGUCGUCUCUAUUCAAGAUAUCACAGUGAAUUAUUUUAAGGAGACAGUAAAAGCAUUAGCAGGAGUUUCUGAUAUAUUGCACAGAAUCAACAAGAUAUAAAGCAGAAUGAUGAUCCUGGUUUUUUGGUCAAACUAUCCAUAUGAGCCUGUCUGUCUAGCUAGUCAUAGAAACAAUAUGGAAGCAAGUGUGCCAAAAUAUAAGAAGCAGUUGCCUCAACUAGGAAUGCAAAAAGAAAUGGAACAGGAUGUGAAGAGACUUGGCCAGGCUGCCUGGGCCACAGCAAUUCCCAGGUUGGAAAAACUUAAGCUAAUGCUAGCUCAAGAGACUCUGCAACUCAUGAGAGCGAAAGAAUUGUAUUUAAAUUGCAAAAGAGCUGAAAUUCAGGGAAAGAUGGAAGAUCUUCCAGAACAAGAAAAAAAUAUAAAUGUUGUAGAUGAAUUAGAAAUACAAUUUUAUGAAAUUCAGUUAGAACUAUAUGAAGUUAAAUUUGAGAUAUUAAAAAACAAAGAAAUACUGCUUACUACACAGUUGGACUCUCUUGAAAGACUUAUAAAAGUUAAACCUUAGAUUGACUUGGGUCUGUUUCUGAGUUGUUCUCCUCCAUUGGUUCGUGAGUGGCUUCUGCUGCUGGCUCCAUACUGUUCCCACGACUGUCUUGGAGGCACAUUUUAGGGUCUGAAAAACAGGAUGAAGUUGUCUAUUACGAUCCAUGUGAAAGUCCAGAGGAACUUAGUCAUUGACUGUGGUGGGGCUGCAGGACGAUAAGAAUUCGGAAGUGAAAGAACUCAGAAGGCAGUGCCAGCAGCUGGAGUCUAUUAAACGGGGCAGGAUCUGUGUCAAAAGAGCUUCUCUCCAGAGUAGAAAGGAUCAGUGCAAAGAAAAUCAUUGGCUCAGAUUGCAACAGGCUGAAGAAAGCAUAAGAUAUUCUCGUCAGCAUCACAGUAUUCAGAUGAAAAGAGACAAGAUAAAAAGGAGCAAAAGAAAAAAGAAUGGGUCAACCAAGAACGUCAAACACUCCAACGAUUGAGAGCAUUUAAAGAUAGAAAUAAUGAGAGAGAUUGUCUCUCUUGAAGUUCUCAGUGCCUGUGCAUUGCUGCCACUACACAGCUAGUAUCAUGACAGCAGCUUCAGAACCAGAGCUGGCUUCCAGGUUGUGUGUGUGAGCCAGAUUUUAUUGCAAGUGUUUGAAAGACUAUUGCAAAUAUCGGAUAUUGCCAGACAGUUGGUAAAAAGCAAAUUGAGUCUAUUGAGAAAUUAAUUCACCAGCUGAAGGAAGCACAUUUGCCUUACAGUCAUCAGAUAUUCUACCCACCAGACUCAUCUCCGAGAUAGCAUCCUAAUGAGCUUCCUAAACCAACUAAACAUGAGCAGGAAGCAUCAGUCGUCAAAACUGACUCUUUUCAGCCAAUCAGCUGACUGCACAAACUGUAUGGCAUUGAGGAAAGGAAGAACAUUCUGAAAGUUUUUUUUUUUCAUUCUGCCCUCACUUUGUUGGUUUCUCAGUUUUACAGAUGCAGUGUCAUGCGCAGAACCCUGUAAAUGAGCAUAGUUCAUUCAAGUAUAUAAAGUGCUUUCGUGUAUUAUUAUUCAGUGGAAUAAAAUGAAUGUUAACAGG
Molecule: long non-coding RNA, 2206 nt
Filed under: Homo sapiens (human)
Lineage: Eukaryota; Metazoa; Chordata; Mammalia; Primates; Hominidae
Description: non-protein coding lnc-APBA2-1:3
Source: RNAcentral